Molecule: long non-coding RNA, 584 nt
Filed under: Xyrichtys novacula (pearly razorfish)
Lineage: Eukaryota; Metazoa; Chordata; Actinopteri; Labriformes; Labridae
Source: RNAcentral
CUUCUUCUCACCUCCAGAUGUCACGACUUCCAUCUGGGAACAACACCUCCGGGUGACGCGGGGUGACAACAGCAGGUGAUACAGCUCAAUUCCAAGUGCAUGCUGGGAAAUCUGCAUUAACAGGACUAACUCUCUCCUGACAGGAUCCACCGCAACACUUUGUUAGUUAGCUCUUCUCAGCCGACCCAAUUAUGAUGCUUCUAUACAGCUAUCUCCUGCCUCUGCUCCACAUUCCUGCAUCGCCGGCCCUGACCUCAAUACUUAGACCGGAGCGACGACGAUGAAGGGACGACUGGUGAAAGAGGAAAAAGACGGAGUAAGUGAGUAACGAACAGUGACAGUGCAUGAAGAACCUCUGAUCCAGCAUGAAAAUCGCCUCUCUUCAUGCUUUGUCCUCCUCUAAUGAUUCUCUGACAAACUGUCCGCCCGCAGGCCGCUUCACACAUCAGACGUUAGCAUGAAGACGCUGUCAUCUGUGGGCCUCCGUAAAAGAGGAACAAUUAGAGAAGAGUCUGCUGGUGGAUAAUAAACACAGAGCUGGUUCAACAGGACUCCUGUGGUUAGUCUGCUGAUCUAUUAAACAC